This is a long non-coding RNA of Biomphalaria glabrata, 426 nucleotides long. RefSeq lists it as uncharacterized. NCBI's taxonomy places the organism in Eukaryota, Metazoa, Mollusca, Gastropoda, Planorbidae. The record is from RefSeq and is a predicted model, not a curated record. The transcript is spliced from 3 exons.
GAAGAAAAAGGCGUCUCUCGACUGGUUCCAGAAGGCAAACAAAACACCAGGCCGAGGCCAGAUCGAGUUCUAACUAUCUCGUGAAGUCAACGCUACGUAGAGGGAAAGCUUAUUACGGGAGAGAACUCGGAAAUUGUUCCAACGAGCUGACAAGGUUUCAACUUGGUGUCAGAAGAGAGUAAGCCGGAUUUGUUAUCAGUCACGAGCAUUUUUGAGUGAUUUGAUAUGAAAGGUGAAACACUUUGUGCGAUCGCUAUCCCAGACGUCAGCACUCUACGGCUCGCGUGCAGAGGUGGUUAGUUCUGCGAAUGUCAGUGACAUGCAAACAAAAAAAAAGGAAAUCUAAAUAAAUGUCAGUCCGUGUGGGCGGAGACUUCCUGAGACAUGUAAAGCAUGGGCCUAAGUUACUUGACAUCUUUACAGGAC